AAUUUGAAAUCUGGCGGUCUCAGGCCGUCCGAGUUGUAAUCUAGAGAGGUGUUUUCCGUGCCGGACCGUGUACAAGUCCCUUGGAACAGGGCGUCAUAGAGGGUGAGAAUCCCGUCCAUGACACGGACUCCCGGUGCUCUGUGAUACACCUUCAAAGAGUCGAGUUGUUUGGGAAUGCAGCUCAAAAUGGGUGGUAAAUUCCAUCUAAAGCUAAAUACAGGCGAGAGACCGAUAGCGAACAAGUACCGUGAGGGAAAGAUGAAAAGAACUUUGGAAAGAGAGUUAAACAGUACGUGAAAUUGUUGAAAGGGAAACGCUUGAAGUCAGUCGCGUCUGCCGGGACUCAGCCUUGCUUUUGCUUGGUGCACUUCUCGGUGGAUGGGCCAGCAUCGAUUUUGAUCGCCGGAAAAGGGUGGGAGGAAUGUGGCAGCUUGCUGUGUUAUAGCCUCCUAUCGUACACGGUGGUUGGGAUCGAGGAUUGCAGCACGCCUUUGGUCGGGGUUCGCCCACGCCACGUGCUUAGGAUGCUGGCGUAAUGGCUUUAAACGACCCGUCUUGAAACACGGACCAAGGAGUCUAACAUGCCUGCGAGUGUUUGGGUGUUAAACCCAGGCGCGUAAUGAAAGUGAUAAGUUGGGACUCUUCGCUGAGGCACCGACGCCCGAUCCUGAAGUUUACGGACGGAUUUGAGGUAGAGCAUGUAUGUUGGGACCCGAAAGAUGGUGAACUAUGCCUGAAUAGGG
This 743-nucleotide ribosomal RNA is filed under the name Metarhizium brachyspermum. RNAcentral's name for it is "partial 28S ribosomal RNA". It matches the Rfam family "Eukaryotic large subunit ribosomal RNA", at positions 112 to 846 of the family's 3401-position model. The record is from RNAcentral. Lineage: Eukaryota; Fungi; Ascomycota; Sordariomycetes; Hypocreales; Clavicipitaceae.